Molecule: transfer RNA, 97 nt
Filed under: candidate division CSSED10-310 bacterium
Lineage: Bacteria; candidate division CSSED10-310
Description: tRNA-Sec
Rfam family: Selenocysteine transfer RNA
Source: RNAcentral
GGGAGCGGGUGGUGUCUGGUGAUGCCUCCGGUCUUCAAAACCGGCGAGGGGCCUGAUGAGGGUCCUUGGUGGGUUCGAUUCCCAUGCGCUCCCGCCA